GUGCUAAGUGGGAAAGGAUGUGGAGUUGCACAGACAACCAGGAGGUUGGCUUAGAAGCAGCCACCCUUGAAAGAGUGCGUAAUAGCUCACUGGUCAAGUGAUUCCGCGCCGACAAUGUAGCGGGGCUCAAGUACACCGCCGAAGUUGUGGCAUUCAGAUAUUAGCCAAGCCUUCGUGGUUCAGGCGUCUGGAUGGGUAGGGGAGCGUCGUGUGGGCGGUGAAGUCGCGGUGUAAACCAGCGGUGGAGCCUACACGAGUGAGAAUGCAGGCAUGAGUAGCGAAAGACGGGUGAGAAACCCGUCCGCCGGAUGAUCAAGGGUUCCAGGGUCAAGCUAAUCUGCCCUGGGUAAGUCGGGACCUAAGGCGAGGCCGACAGGCGUAGUCGAUGGACAACGGGUUGAUAUUCCCGUACCGGCGAAAAACCGCCCAUGCUGAACGGGGGAUACUAACCGCCCGAAGCCUGCCCGACACCCCUUGUGGGUGAAGGGUUUUGGUGGAGCGCGGGACCUGAUCCUGGGAGGCAAGCGUAUUAACAGGUGUGACGCAGGAAGGUAGCCGAGCCGGGCGAUGGUUGUCCCGGUCUAAGGAUGUAGGGCGAACGGUAGGCAAAUCCGCCGUUCAUGAUGCCUGAGAUCUGAUGGGACUCCCGUAAGGGGGGAUUCGGUGAUCCUAUGCUGCCUAGAAAAGCAUCGGCGCGAGGUUUUAGCCGCCCGUACCCCAAACCGACACAGGUGAUCAGGUAGAGAAUACUAAGGCGAUCGAGAGAAUUAUGGUUAAGGAACUCGGCAAAAUGCCCCCGUAACUUCGGGAGAAGGGGGGCCCCAACCUUGAUACACCCUUGCGGUGUGGAGGGGAUCGGGGCCGCAGAGACCAGGGGGAAGCGACUGUUUACUAAAAACACAGGUCCGUGCGAAGUCGCAAGACGAUGUAUACGGACUGACUCCUGCCCGGUGCUGGAAGGUUAAGAGGACCGGUUAGCCGCAAGGCGAAGCUGAGAAUUUAAGCCCCAGUAAACGGCGGUGGUAACUAUAACCAUCCUAAGGUAGCGAAAUUCCUUGUCGGGUAAGUUCCGACCUGCACGAAUGGAGUAACGACUUCCCCGCUGUCUCAACCAUAAACUCGGCGAAAUUGCAGUACGAGUAAAGAUGCUCGUUACGCGCAGCAGGACGGAAAGACCCCGGGACCUUUACUAUAGUUUGGUAUUGGUGUUCGGAGUGGCUUGUGUAGGAUAGGUGGGAGACGUUGAAGCCCGGACGCCAGUUCGGGUGGAGUCAUCGUUGAAAUACCACUCUGGUCACUUUGGACAUCUAACUUCGGCCCGUAAUCCGGGUCAGGGACAGUGCCUGAUGGGUAGUUUAACUGGGGCGGUUGCCUCCUAAAAAGUAACGGAGGCGCCCAAAGGUUCCCUCAGCCUGGUUGGCAAUCAGGUGUCGAGUG
RNAcentral lists this ribosomal RNA (1437 nucleotides) under soil metagenome. Its description in RNAcentral is "bacterial LSU rRNA". It matches the Rfam family "Bacterial large subunit ribosomal RNA", at positions 1056 to 2351 of the family's 2925-position model. The record is from RNAcentral.